RNAcentral lists this ribosomal RNA (596 nucleotides) under uncultured euryarchaeote. RNAcentral's name for it is "bacterial SSU rRNA". It matches the Rfam family "Archaeal small subunit ribosomal RNA", at positions 80 to 680 of the family's 1478-position model. The record is from RNAcentral. Lineage: Archaea; Methanobacteriati; Methanobacteriota.
CGAUUACGGCUCAGUAACACGUAGAUAGUCUACCCUUGAGUCGAGGAUAAGCACGGGAAACUGUGUCUAACACUCGAUAGGGGAUUCGACCUGGAAAGGUAGAUCCCUGAAACUCGUGCUCAAGGAUGAGUCUGCGGAUGAUUAGCUUGUUGGUGGGGUAACUGCCUACCAAGGCAAUGAUCAUUACGGGCUCUUAGCGGAGUUGCCCGGAGAAGGAAUCUGAGACACUAUUCCUAGCUCUACGGAGUGCAGCAGUCGCGGAACUUUUACAAUGCACGCAAGUGUGAUAAAGCGAACCAAAGUGUUUCUCGUUUAGAGAAACUUUUUCUUACUGUAAAAGUGUAGGAGAAUAAGGACUGGGAAAGACUGGUGCCAGCCGCCGCGGUAAUACCAGCAGUUCAAGUUGCAUCCCUUUUUAUUGGGUCUAAAACAUCCGUAGCUUGCCGUUUAAGUCUCUUGUGAAAUCUCACGUCUCAAGCGUGAUGAAGUGCAGGAGAUACUGAGCGGCUAGAGAUCGGUAGACGUAAGGAGUACGCCGGAGGUAGUGGUAAAAUGUGUUAAUCUUGAUCGGACUAACAAUGGCGAAGGCACUUUGC